GACGAACGCUGGCGGCAUGCUUAACACAUGCAAGUCUAGGAGCUCUUCGGGGCAACUGGCGCACGGGUGAGUAACACGUAGGUUAUCUGCCCCUAUCACAGGCAUAACAUCGGGAAACCGGUGCUAAUAUCUGAUGAGGUCUUGCGAUCAAAGCCUUCGGGCGGAUAGGGAUGAGCCUGCGGCUGAUUAGCUAGUUGGUGAGGUAAUGGCUCACCAAGGCGACGAUCAGUAGCUGGACUGAGAGGUCGAACGAGCCACACUGGAACUGAGACACGGUCCAG
RNAcentral lists this ribosomal RNA (281 nucleotides) under uncultured bacterium. Its description in RNAcentral is "partial 16S ribosomal RNA". It matches the Rfam family "Bacterial small subunit ribosomal RNA", at positions 28 to 334 of the family's 1533-position model. The record is from RNAcentral.